GAUGAACGCUGGCGGCGUGCCUAACACAUGCAAGUCGAACGAAGCUUGACGGAUGAUUUCUUCGGAAUGAAACCAGAUCUGACUUAGUGGCGGACGGGUGAGUAACACGUGAGCAACCUGCCUUUCAGAGGGGGAUAACGGCUGGAAACGGUCGCUAAUACCGCAUGAUGUGUUCGGAUGGCAUCAUCUGAACAUCAAAGAUUUAUCGCUGAAAGAUGGGCUCGCGUCUGAUUAGAUAGUUGGUGGGGUAACGGCCUACCAAGUCUACGAUCAGUAGCCGGACUGAGAGGUUGAACGGCCACAUUGGGACUGAGAUACGGCCCAGACUCCUACGGGAGGCAGCAGUGGGGAAUAUUGCACAAUGGGGGAAACCCUGAUGCAGCAACGCCGCGUGAAGGAUGACGGUUUUCGGAUUGUAAACUUCUUUUCUUAGUGACGAAGACAGUGACGGUAGCUAAGGAAUAAGCAUCGGCUAACUACGUG
Molecule: ribosomal RNA, 483 nt
Filed under: uncultured bacterium
Lineage: Bacteria
Description: partial 16S ribosomal RNA
Rfam family: Bacterial small subunit ribosomal RNA
Source: RNAcentral